UACAGAGGGUGCAAGCGUUGUUCGGAAUUAUUGGGCGUAAAGGGUGCGUAGGCGGUGCGGUAAGUCUGUAGUGAAAUCUCUGGGCUCAACUCAGAGUCUGCUAUAGAAACUGCCGUGCUCGAGUGUGGGAGAGGUGAGUGGAAUUCCCGGUGUAGCGGUGAAAUGCGUAGAUAUCAGGAGGAACACCUGUGGCGAAAGCGGCGCACUGGACCACAACUGACGCUGAGGCGCGAAAGCUAGGGGAGCAAACAGG
This 253-nucleotide ribosomal RNA is filed under the name uncultured bacterium. Its description in RNAcentral is "partial 16S ribosomal RNA". It matches the Rfam family "Bacterial small subunit ribosomal RNA", at positions 524 to 776 of the family's 1533-position model. The record is from RNAcentral.